This 253-nucleotide ribosomal RNA is filed under the name uncultured bacterium. RNAcentral's name for it is "partial 16S ribosomal RNA". It matches the Rfam family "Bacterial small subunit ribosomal RNA", at positions 524 to 776 of the family's 1533-position model. The record is from RNAcentral.
UACGAAGGGGGCGAGCGUUGUUCGGAUUUACUGGGCGUAAAGGGCGCGCAGGCGGCUAUUCAAGUCAGGCGUGAAAGCCCCGGGCUUAACCUGGGAACUGCGUCUGGGACUGGGUGGCUAGAGAUCGGGAGAGGAGAGUGGAAUUCCUGGUGUAGCGGUGAAAUGCGCAGAUAUCAGGAAGAACACCAAUGGCGAAGGCAGCUCUCUGGGACGGUACUGACGCUGAGACGCGAAAGCGUGGGGAGCGAACAGG